UGCAGCAGGCGCGAAACCUCCGCAAUGUGAGAAAUCGCGACGGGGGGAUCCCAAGUGCCAUUCUUAACGGGAUGGCUUUUCUUUAGUGUAAAAAGCUUUUGGAAUAAGAGCUGGGCAAGACCGG
This 124-nucleotide ribosomal RNA is filed under the name uncultured Methanobrevibacter sp. RNAcentral's name for it is "partial 16S ribosomal RNA". It matches the Rfam family "Archaeal small subunit ribosomal RNA", at positions 331 to 455 of the family's 1478-position model. Lineage: Archaea; Methanobacteriati; Methanobacteriota; Methanobacteria; Methanobacteriales; Methanobacteriaceae. The record is from RNAcentral.